RNAcentral lists this unclassified non-coding RNA (380 nucleotides) under Hevea brasiliensis (rubber tree). The record is from RNAcentral. Lineage: Eukaryota; Viridiplantae; Streptophyta; Magnoliopsida; Malpighiales; Euphorbiaceae.
CAAUUUUUAGCCGAUAGCCUAAAAGGCUGAAACUGAAAAGCCAAGUAUAAAGUCGGAUUCAUCAUUUGGCCACUUGUACAACAAAAAUUCCAAGAAAACAAGGAGAUUUUAACAUGUAUAACAAAAAUUCUGAACAAAAGUUGAAUUAAGGAUGAGGUUUCCACCUAGUGUGAGUUGAUAUAAUAAGACAACAAAAAGAAAAAGGAAAAGAGAACAGAAAGGAUUGCAAAGAGAAUUGAGAAGUUCCUCUUCCUACCCUUUGUCCCCCUUCCUAGUAUCAAGUGUCCAAGUCUCCAAUGUUGCCGCUCUUUACAUUUGCUUCAAACUCAUUGCAAUUGCAGCCUAUCCUUUUCGACAAAAUACUCUCUCUCUCUCUCUCU